Molecule: RNase P RNA, 339 nt
Filed under: Autumnicola patrickiae
Lineage: Bacteria; Pseudomonadati; Bacteroidota; Flavobacteriia; Flavobacteriales; Flavobacteriaceae
Description: RNase P RNA component class A
Rfam family: Bacterial RNase P class A
About the family: Ribonuclease P (RNase P) is a ubiquitous endoribonuclease, found in archaea, bacteria and eukarya as well as chloroplasts and mitochondria.
Source: RNAcentral
AAAGCAGGUCGCCUUGUCGCUUGAUCUAUUGUUUUCGGUUUAAUCCGGAAAUGCGAGGUUGAGAGGAAAGUCCGGACACCAUAGGGCAGCAUAGUGGGUAACGCCCACCGGCCGUGAGGUUAGGACAAGUGCAACAGAAAGAAUGUACAGGUAAUGCUGUAGUGAAACCAGGUAAACUCUAUGCGGUGCAAUGCCAUGUAAACCGGUACUGCAGAUGGCCCGUCUGCUUCCGGAGGGUAGGCAGCUAAAGGUUUUUGGUAACAGGAACUUCAGAUAAAUGACAAGGGCUUCCGAUUUAUUCGGAACGCACAGAAUCCGGCUUACAGACCUGCUUUUUUA